UACAGAGGGUGCGAGCGUUAAUCGGAAUUACUGGGCGUAAAGCGCACGUAGGUGGCGACGUAAGUCGGGUGUGAAAGCCCCGGGCUCAACCUGGGAAUUGCAUUCGAGACUGCAUUGCUGGAGUACGGAAGAGGAAGGCGGAAUUCCCGGUGUAGCGGUGAAAUGCGUAGAUAUCGGGAGGAACAUCAGUGGCGAAGGCGGCUCUCUGGGUCGGACCUGACGCUGAGGCGCGAAAGCGUGGGGAGCGAACGGG
Molecule: ribosomal RNA, 253 nt
Filed under: uncultured bacterium
Lineage: Bacteria
Description: partial 16S ribosomal RNA
Rfam family: Bacterial small subunit ribosomal RNA
Source: RNAcentral